AUAUGUUUAUACCUUGACCCACAGCCCGAACCACCGUCACGGGAAUGGAUGCCGACACUGAGUAGCAUGACGGCCACUAGCCGCAUGAUGGCUGCCUGCACGGCAGCAUCUGACCGAGGUUCCAUCAUCUUCCAUCGUUGACCAAUUGAUAUGGAGUGAAAUUAUCAUCAUUUGCCGAUGAACCUGGCCGUAACAUUGCCACCCGACGACAACCUCCGCCGGAACUUUGUUAUCCUCGCUACCUGAGUUGUCCGCGCUACCUAAGCCCCAGCAGUUUUCCAUACUAUAUUCUCCCGCACUUUGAAGAUUUCAGGCAUAAAAUGGCUAGAGUUAAAAAUGUUGGAUCCGGCAAGGGCAAUACAAUCAACCAAAUGAUAAAAAAAUAUAGGGUAUUGAGGGAAUGCCGUGUGACAAAAGUAGAUCAUUUCAGUAGCAUAUUACUGUUAGAAUUGGAUCUAAUCAUAUAUGAAUGCUAAUAUUUGAACGAGUUAGGUAGACUGCUUUGUUACUUUUAUAUGUGGUUAAAUUAAUCAUUUAUAUACGUCUAAACUUUAUGCUCUAAAGUUUCUGUACUGACAGUUUAAUGCAAAUGUCUUGACAUAUGAGACUCUUUAAGUAGUAGAAACUCAAGUUGGGAUAAUGUCUAGUGAGAGGUUGAAAUCUCAAACACUUGACGAUAUAUGUCUUGGCAAA
Punica granatum (pomegranate) is the source of this 693-nucleotide non-coding RNA. The record is from RefSeq and is a predicted model, not a curated record. NCBI's taxonomy places the organism in Eukaryota, Viridiplantae, Streptophyta, Magnoliopsida, Myrtales, Lythraceae.